CUCGUCUGGAGAUCUCUUCUUCUGGUGCUUUCUGUAGGUGAGCCUACCAUAUAGAGGAAAAGGGAAGGACUGGAACUAGCAUCCUCUGAGCUGCUGUGCCAGGACAACAGGAGAAGUCCAGUGGAUAGACCCAAGAUUCCUGCAGCCUCCAAGUGAGCCCUAAGGAAGACAGCAGGACUGGGACUGGUGUUCUCUGAGCUCCAGUGCCAGGACAACAGGAGCAGCCCAGCAGAUGGUCCCAAGCUCCAUAAAGCCUCCAGGUGAUGUUAGAGAAGCUACAGAGACAGCUGUAUCUUUAGAGAAGUAAAAGACUUUGCUUUAGACAGGAAGAAGGUCUGACAUUCAGCAUGAAGGUCCAAUCUAGUUGUUACAUUAGGACUUCUUUUCAAGACAGGACAGUAAACAUAAUAAAAUAAAAUUUAAAAAACA
Tympanuchus pallidicinctus (lesser prairie-chicken) is the source of this 429-nucleotide long non-coding RNA. RefSeq lists it as uncharacterized. The record is from RefSeq and is a predicted model, not a curated record. Lineage: Eukaryota; Metazoa; Chordata; Aves; Galliformes; Phasianidae. The transcript is spliced from 2 exons.